CCCCAGGUCAGGCGGGAUUACCCGCUGAGU
This 30-nucleotide small nuclear RNA is filed under the name Arabidopsis thaliana (thale cress). RNAcentral's name for it is "snRNA_16455". Lineage: Eukaryota; Viridiplantae; Streptophyta; Magnoliopsida; Brassicales; Brassicaceae. The record is from RNAcentral.